AAGCUAUAUAAUUUCAUUAGCAAGGAUUCAUCUUCUCCCAGUCUAUCAUUCAUCUGGGAGACAUCAGAAGUGAGCAACUCACAAGAUAUAUUUGGAUACUUGUAUCUGAUCUUUUCAUCCAUGUCUUGAGGUGGUUCUUCUAUAAUGAAUGAGACUAAAUCUUCGAGACAUUCUGCUUUUAACAGAAACUCUAUAAGUUUGCGGUUCUGAGCUUUACAUUCCUGUAAAACAUCUUCCUCAUCCAUUAACUCCUUCAGUGUUACAUCUUCU
This 270-nucleotide long non-coding RNA is filed under the name Homo sapiens (human). RNAcentral describes it as "LNC_000751". The record is from RNAcentral. Lineage: Eukaryota; Metazoa; Chordata; Mammalia; Primates; Hominidae.